GACGAACGCUGGCGGCGUGCUUGACACAUGCAAGUCGAACGGAAAGGCCCUGCUUUUGUGGGGUGCUCGAGUGGCGAACGGGUGAGUAACACGUGAGUAACCUGCCCUUGACUUUGGGAUAACUUCAGGAAACUGGGGCUAAUACCGGAUAGGAGCUCCUGCUGCAUGGUGGGGGUUGGAAAGUUUCGGCGGUUGGGGAUGGACUCGCGGCUUAUCAGCUUGUUGGUGGGGUAGUGGCUUACCAAGGCUUUGACGGGUAGCCGGCCUGAGAGGGUGACCGGCCGCAUUGGGACUGAGAUACGGCCCAGACUCCUACGGGAGGCAGCAGUGGGGAAUAUUGCACAAUGGGCGGAAGCCUGAUGCAGCAACGCCGCGUGCGGGAUGACGGCCUUCGGGUUGUAAACCGCUUUCGCCUGUGACGAAGCGUGAGUGACGGUAAUGGGUAAAGAAGCACCGGCUAACUACGUG
RNAcentral lists this ribosomal RNA (468 nucleotides) under uncultured bacterium. RNAcentral describes it as "partial 16S ribosomal RNA". It matches the Rfam family "Bacterial small subunit ribosomal RNA", at positions 28 to 507 of the family's 1533-position model. The record is from RNAcentral.